RNAcentral lists this ribosomal RNA (214 nucleotides) under Bacillus licheniformis. Its description in RNAcentral is "partial 23S ribosomal RNA". It matches the Rfam family "Bacterial large subunit ribosomal RNA", at positions 1490 to 1704 of the family's 2925-position model. The record is from RNAcentral. Lineage: Bacteria; Bacillati; Bacillota; Bacilli; Caryophanales; Bacillaceae.
GCGCGGUAUUGGAUAUCCGCGUCCAAGCAGUUAGGCUGGGAAAUAGGCAAAUCCGUUUCCCGUAAGGCUGAGCUGUGAUGGCGAGCGAAUAUAGUAGCGAAGUUCCUGAUUCCACACUGCCAAGAAAAGCCUCUAGCGAGGUGAGAGGUGCCCGUACCGCAAACCGACACAGGUAGGCGAGGAGAGAAUCCUAAGGUGAUCGAGAGAACUCUCG